ACCAAGUGCACUGCAUUUAUGCACAAUGAGGAAUAUUGUAUAUCCUCUCUUUAAGUUGAAAUUUACGAAGCGUUAUAGUGUCAACAGGAGGUAUAAGAAAAAUUCUUUUCAAUCCGAAAUUCACGUUUGGGAAAUGGUGCAAGCCUUUGGUUGAAUAACAGAAUGAUAGGAGCUACAGAAGACAUGACAAAGUUAAGUAAUACCUCUCAGGUGCGGUCGUUUGUGUGUCGGAAACUGCCAUAUGUUUGACAAAACAAAUGUCACGCCAUUAGAAUAAGCUAGAGAUGAGGUAUAAGGAAAAACGUCAGGUAGAAGGGUUUAAUUAGAUUUUAAUUUGAUUUGUAAGCGCCCGUACCAUGUAUUGAUAAGUGCGCUGCAUUCAUGCACUAAGAGGAAUAUUGUAUAUGCUCUCUUUAAGUCGGAAUUCACGUUUGGAACUUCGGCGGUACUGUAUAUAUAUGUCCAGUUUUCAGAAGGGGGAGCAACACACACUAUGGGGAAGGUGAUACUGAAGCGCUGUGGACACUGUAACAAGAUAUUCUUGUUUGUCCUUCUCGACACCGGCGACAUACUUGUCGCCUUAAAAAUAACGGAUACUGUGGAAAAUUUAGCUGAAGGCAGCUAUAAGGCAAAGUUUGUUCGGUUACUUGACGAACCGGAAGAAGAAGAGGAAGUAUUAUACCAACGGGAGCCAGAAGAGAGAGACGAAGAGUAAACCUCUCCUGAGCUCGAUUUAAAAAAAAAAUGAAUAAACGAUUAGAAAGAAAUUUUAGUUGGUUACUUUUUUAUUUAUCAAAGUCGUUGGUGAGCAACGAAAUUGUUAUACUCCGUGUCUUAUAUGACUUUAUUAAUAUGAUAUUAAUAUCCAAAUCAUAUUGGUUCACUAAAGAUUGCAAAGCACAGCACAUAUGGAUGAUUUAACACGUAAAGUCCGAAUAAUGCAUUGGAUAUGACAAUUAAAUACAUGUACUUUACAGUUCGUAUAUACGAUUGUAGCAAGUUUUCAAGGUGUCUUCAGCGCAUUGGAAGCCGUCAGCUGCUGCAAUCACUUCAUGUACAAGUUGUUCGUGGUUUUGAGCAACGCGCUCAAUAAUGGCGAAAAUGUACGGAUCGUCUGCUACCCCUUUAGUAGAACAAUACAGCUCGUAUGCUCGCAGUAUGACGCUGUUUUGGAUAUGUUGAAAUGCAUCAUCAAUAAACUGAUACACUGAAAUCGACCACACCG
Molecule: long non-coding RNA, 1225 nt
Organism: Lingula anatina
Lineage: Eukaryota; Metazoa; Brachiopoda; Lingulata; Lingulida; Lingulidae
Source: RefSeq, a predicted model, not a curated record